This 253-nucleotide ribosomal RNA is filed under the name uncultured bacterium. RNAcentral's name for it is "partial 16S ribosomal RNA". It matches the Rfam family "Bacterial small subunit ribosomal RNA", at positions 524 to 776 of the family's 1533-position model. The record is from RNAcentral. RNAcentral also lists the same sequence under 1 other name.
UACGAAGGGUGCAAGCGUUAAUCGGAAUUACUGGGCGUAAAGCGUGCGUAGGUGGUUCGUUAAGUCUGUUGUGAAAGCCCUGGGCUCAACCUGGGAAUGGCGAUGGAUACUGGCGAGCUAGAGUACGGUAGAGGAUGGUGGAAUUCCCGGUGUAGCGGUGAAAUGCGUAGAGAUCGGGAGGAACAUCAGUGGCGAAGGCGGCCAUCUGGACCAGUACUGACGCUGAGGCACGAAAGCGUGGGGAGCAAACAGG